CUACGGGCGGCUGCAGUGAGGAAUAUCGGUCAAUGGCCGAGAGGCUGAACCAGCCAUCCCGCGUGCAGGAUGACGGCCCUAUGGGUUGUAAACUGCUUUUCUACGCCAAGAAAUCUGAUUACGUGUAAUUAGUUGACGGUAGCGUAGGAAUAAGCAUCGGCUAACUCCGUGCCAGCAGCCGCGGUAAUACGGAGGAUGCAAGCGUUAUCCGGAUUCAUUGGGUUUAAAGGGUGCGCAGGCGGGCUUGUAAGUCAGUGGUGAAAUACUGCCGCUUAACGGUAGAACUGCCAUUGAUACUGCAAGUCUUGAAUAUGGUUGAGGUAGGCGGAAUGUGUUGUGUAGCGGUGAAAUGCAUAGAUAUGACACAGAACGCCGAUUGCGAAGGCAGCUUACUAAGCCAUUAUUGACGCUGAGGCACGAAAGCGUGGGGAGCGAACAGGAUUAGAUACCCGAGUAGUC
Molecule: ribosomal RNA, 459 nt
Filed under: uncultured bacterium
Lineage: Bacteria
Description: partial 16S ribosomal RNA
Rfam family: Bacterial small subunit ribosomal RNA
Source: RNAcentral